CCUUUAAAAAAGUGGCACUAAAUGUUUUUUUUUUCAGAUAGUUAGUAUUGAUUCUUGAACUUCAAAUACAGAUUUUGGAUUUAUAAGGCCGAAUUUUUCAUGUAUGGCUCAAUCAUUCUCGGUCUUGGCGUUUGUGCUAUUUUGACAAUGUGGUUGGUAAUCUGCAUCUUCAAUAUGAAACGACACUUUUGUCCAAAAAAGCCAAUACAAAGGUGUAAAUGGUGUAAUCGUCUCCAAAACGAACCAGUAAAGCGCCGAUCACCUGUAAAACUUCGACAAAGCUUCCCAUUGAAAGUGGCUUUUAACCUGCAACAACAAGAGAACGCAAAAGACAAAAAACAAUAUUGUGAACCAUGGGAAGCAACAAGUAGCAUGUGAAUUUCAGAAAAUGAAAUUGACGAUGACUAAUCAUCACUGUAGUGUAAAAUGAUGAAACAUACGGAAUAGUAAUGUA
RNAcentral lists this long non-coding RNA (454 nucleotides) under Mytilus galloprovincialis (Mediterranean mussel). Lineage: Eukaryota; Metazoa; Mollusca; Bivalvia; Mytilida; Mytilidae. The record is from RNAcentral.